RNAcentral lists this ribosomal RNA (471 nucleotides) under uncultured bacterium. Its description in RNAcentral is "bacterial SSU rRNA". It matches the Rfam family "Bacterial small subunit ribosomal RNA", at positions 501 to 972 of the family's 1533-position model. The record is from RNAcentral.
CUACGUGCCAGCAGCCGCGGUAAUACGUAGGGUGCGAGCGUUAAUCGGAAUUACUGGGCGUAAAGCGGGCGCAGACGGUUACUUAAGCAGGAUGUGAAAUCCCCGGGCUCAACCUGGGAACUGCGUUCUGAACUGGGUGACUAGAGUGUGUCAGAGGGAGGUAGAAUUCCACGUGUAGCAGUGAAAUGCGUAGAGAUGUGGAGGAAUACCGAUGGCGAAGGCAGCCUCCUGGGAUAACACUGACGUUCAUGCUCGAAAGCGUGGGUAGCAAACAGGAUUAGAUACCCUGGUAGUCCACGCCCUAAACGAUGUCAAUUAGCUGUUGGGCAACUUGAUUGCUUAGUAGYGUAGCUAACGCGUGAAAUUGACCGCCUGGGGAGUACGGUCGCAAGAUUAAAACUCAAAGGAAUUGACGGGGACCCGCACAAGCGGUGGAUGAUGGGAUUAAUUCGAUGCAACGCGAAGAACCUU